CCUACGGGUGGCAGCAGUGAGGAAUAUUGGUCAAUGGGCGCGAGCCUGAACCAGCCAAGUAGCGUGAAUGAUGACUGCCCUACGGGUUGUAAACUUCUUUUAUAAAGGAAUAAAGUGAGGCACGUGUGCCUUUUUGUAUGUACUUUAUGAAUAAGGAUCGGCUAACUCCGUGCCAGCCGCCGCGGUAAUACGGAGGAUCCGAGCGUUAUACGGAUUUAUUGGGUUUAAAGGGAGCGUAGAUGGGUUGUUAAGUCAGUUGUGAAAGUUUGUGGCUCAACCGUAAAAUUGCAAUUGAUACUGGCAGCCUUGAGUACAGUUGAGGGAGGCGGAAUUCGUGGUGUAGCGGUGAAAUGCUUAGAUAUCACGAAGAACCCAGAUUGCGAAGGCAGCCUACUAAACUGUGACUGACAUUGAUGCUCGAAAGUGUGGGUAUCAAACAGGAUUAGAUACCCGAGUAGUC
This 460-nucleotide ribosomal RNA is filed under the name uncultured bacterium. Its description in RNAcentral is "partial 16S ribosomal RNA". It matches the Rfam family "Bacterial small subunit ribosomal RNA", at positions 338 to 795 of the family's 1533-position model. The record is from RNAcentral.